This 490-nucleotide ribosomal RNA is filed under the name uncultured bacterium. Its description in RNAcentral is "partial 16S ribosomal RNA". It matches the Rfam family "Bacterial small subunit ribosomal RNA", at positions 30 to 507 of the family's 1533-position model. The record is from RNAcentral.
AUUGAACGCUGGCGGCAUGCUUUACACAUGCAAGUCGGACGGCAGCACAGAGAAGCUUGCUUCUUGGGUGGCGAGUGGCGAACGGGUGAGUAAUAUAUCGGAACGUACCGAGUAAUGGGGGAUAACUAAUCGAAAGAUUAGCUACUACCGCAUAUUCUCUGAGGAGGAAAGCAGGGGACCUUCGGGCCUUGCGUUAUUCGAGCGGCCGAUAUCUGAUUAGCUAGUUGGUGGGGUAAAGGCCUACCAAGGCGACGAUCAGUAGCGGGUCUGAGAGGAUGAUCCGCCACACUGGGACUGAGACACGGCCCAGACUCCUACGGGAGGCAGCAGUGGGGAAUUUUGGACAAUGGGCGCAAGCCUGAUCCAGCCAUGCCGCGUGUCUGAAGAAGGCCUUCGGGUUGUAAAGGACUUUUGUCAGGGAAGAAAAGGCUGUUGCUAAUACCGACAGCUGAUGACGGUACCUGAAGAAUAAGCACCGGCUAACUACGUG